This is a small nuclear RNA of Tupaia belangeri (northern tree shrew), 106 nucleotides long. NCBI's taxonomy places the organism in Eukaryota, Metazoa, Chordata, Mammalia, Scandentia, Tupaiidae. The record is from Ensembl.
GUGCUCGCUUCGGCAGCACGUAUACUAAAAUUGGAAUGAUACAGGGAUUAGCAUGGCCCUUGCGCUUAAGGAUGACACACAAAUUCGUCAAGUAUUCCAUAUUUAA